UUUUAUGGAGAGUUUGAUCCUGGCUCAGGAUGAACGCUGGCGGCGUGCCUAAUACAUGCAAGUCGAGCGAACAGACGAGGAGCUUGCUCCUCUGACGUUAGCGGCGGACGGGUGAGUAACACGUGG
Molecule: ribosomal RNA, 126 nt
Filed under: Staphylococcus epidermidis
Lineage: Bacteria; Bacillati; Bacillota; Bacilli; Caryophanales; Staphylococcaceae
Description: partial 16S ribosomal RNA
Rfam family: Bacterial small subunit ribosomal RNA
Source: RNAcentral